This 301-nucleotide ribosomal RNA is filed under the name uncultured bacterium. RNAcentral's name for it is "partial 16S ribosomal RNA". It matches the Rfam family "Bacterial small subunit ribosomal RNA", at positions 509 to 807 of the family's 1533-position model. The record is from RNAcentral.
CAGUAGCCGCGGUAAUACGUAGGGUGCGAGCGUUAAUCGGAAUUACUGGGCGUAAAGCGUGCGCAGGCGGUUAUAUAAGACAGAUGUGAAAUCCCCGGGCUCAACCUGGGACCUGCAUUUGAGACUGUAUAGCUAGAGUACGGUAGAGGGGGAUGGAAUUCCGCGUGUAGCAGUGAAAUGCGUAGAUAUGCGGAGGAACACCGAUGGCGAAGGCAAUCCCCUGGACCUGUACUGACGCUCAUGCACGAAAGCGUGGGGAGCAAACAGGAUUAGAUACCCGUGUAGUCCCUGUCUCUUAUAC